UUAUAUUCCCCAUAAAAUCUAUGGGGCCCGCGAAUUCGAACCUAUUUUGAAUGCAUGGUCCCAGAGGGCCGGCUUCUCCCUCCUGCAUGCUAGCCUCUCCGCUUUUCGUAGUCUCGCAUCAUGUAACGAUCCAAGCUCCGUACAGCAGCAGCGACCUCAUCAGAAGAAGAAGCCACGAGUUCCUAAGCUGAGGAGCCGCCACUUCAAGACUUCGAGAAGGCAGAGACCGUCGUCAGGAAGAAGAAGAAGCAGGAGGAGGAGGAGAUCUUGAUGAGCUUGAAAGUCCACGCUUUUGGUGAUUCUUCCCUCGUGCUGCCUCUCUUCUUCCUUGCGUAGCAACACCGUACUACAUCUCUCUCUCUCUGAGUGUGUCUCUCUGUGCAUUCUUUCAUCCAUGAGGCAAGUAUUUCGAGUAGGGUUCAGGGGUUUCGCCACCCCUUCUUUGAGGUUCGUCCGGGUACCUCUCAUUUUUGCGUGAAUUUUAUAGUUUUUCUUUCCAGAUGACUACCUUUUCACUUCAGUCGGUCCUUCAGCAAAAGCGACUGCUAAGCGACAAUGCGACGGCAGUUUCAAAUCCUGGGUUUCGCUCUGUGAUGCUAAGCCUUGCUUUGGUUCCUUAAAAUGUUGUUAACUUUUCCGCACGUUGUAGCUUCACGGCUGCUCCAAGAUUCUGGGUUGGUCGUUCUAUCGUCUUGCUCGGAGCGAGCGAAAUGGUGUCCGAAAGGGGCGUGUCGAAUUUGUUGACACCUGAGUCGGCGGCGACUUUUGAGGACAAGAAAGGGAAGAAAUCGAAAGGAUCGGUAGUUUCAGUUCCUAGUUCUACCAAAAGUCAUGUCAAGGUAUUGUCUUUUAAUCGAACCUAUCGUUCCACCUGUGUUUUGGGGACUUGACCAUUUAGCAUUCAUUUUUUCUGCAAAAAAAUUCUGGUGCAAGCAUUGAUGAAGUCGUGUUGCCUAAUAAUGACCUGGCCAAAAUUGAGGCAAUGACAUUUCACGAAUUGAGAGCUACAUUGAGCAUGUGGGAAGAGUACAUGGAACGACUGGAUUGAAGGACUGGCUCCCUACCUACUGUUGUAGUUCAGAGGCAUUCUGAUUUGUUACAGCGAGUGCAUUUGACCCCAAAUGAAUUGUCAUAUUUUGACCGAGAAUGUUGGAGUCUGUAUAGACAUUCUGAUGUUUUAAUCUAGUUAAUUGAUACAAUAAUAUGCUUGUAGUAGGGUUAGUCCAUUUGCUUUGUGUCUAUUCGAAUGAAAUGCUUCUCAUCUUAAAUAAAGAUCACAGCCAAUGAUCAGUUAAGUUACUUAUGAGAUAUAAUUAGCAUCUCAAGUGAUGUUGGAUGAAUAAUAAAAUUGACAUGAGUUGCACUUUGUAUGUCAGAAACGCAAACGUACUACCUUUUCUCUAUAUUAAUUUGUGUUAGGUGGAUACCGUGCCUUCUGGUUUUCUCCUACAUUUGGCUUUUUUGGAUUAUUAUUGUUGAGGUUAUUACUAGUUUUUUUUUGUGCAGAUAAAGCCCCUUUCACUUACAUAUGGCUUGGGCAUAUCAGAUCAUGAUUCUGAGGGACGGCUUGUCAUUGCAGAGCUUGAUUCGUUCUAUGUCUUGAGCGGUUACAUUCCUAAUUCCAGUGACGGCCUGAGAAGACUGACGUAUAGGAUUUCACAGUGGGAUCCAUCUCUUGGUAACUACAUAAAGUAUGUUCAGCACUAUGUAGCCCUUUUGUUUUUUGAUAAAGCUAUUUAGACUUUUGUUCUGGAGUCAUUAUUCACCAUAUCAUGGAUCAAUUCUACAACCUAUAAAGGAACUUGAAAAGUCGAAGCCCGUGAUUUUGACUGGCGAUCUGAAUUGUGCCCAUCAGGAAAUAGACAUUUAUGAUCCUGCGGACAAUGUCCUGGCCACACCAUAUGCCCCCCACCCCACUUAAAAGGAGGGGAAAAAACAGAGAAGAGGACUAUAAUCAGG
This is a long non-coding RNA of Eucalyptus grandis, 1959 nucleotides long. RefSeq lists it as uncharacterized. Lineage: Eukaryota; Viridiplantae; Streptophyta; Magnoliopsida; Myrtales; Myrtaceae. The transcript has 5 exons. The record is from RefSeq and is a predicted model, not a curated record.